GAAUACUUUUAAAGCAAAGGGCAAUUGCUUCUCUGAGCUUUUAAAUACUACUUAAUUACUUAAUUUUCAGGGAACAAGAGGUGGCAAAUAUUUGGGAGACUCCUCAGAUGGUUUUCCUAUCAACGUAAAUAUGACCAAAAGGAUGCUGGACUCUGGAACAUUAUCCUAGUGAUGUGGUACUCAGUCAUCAGAGGGAGAGAGAGAGAGAGAGGAAAGAGAGAGAGAGAGAGAGAGAGAGAGAGAGAGAGAGAGAGAGAGAGAGAGAGAGAGAGUCAGUCCCUGGGGGGAAAUGCCUAGUUUUAAAAGCCAAUCUUUGAUGUAUUUGAAGUUUACAAAGACGAUCUCUAAAGGUCGGCUGAUAAAAACCUAUGCAUGCAGUUUCCCAGCCUUACUGAAAAGCUUCUCUUUGUACAGACUCUACGCGAGUGCGCAUGUCCUGAAAGAGCCUAAGACAGGAGAGCUGACCCAUACCCUUGACCUUUGGAGGAUGUCAGUGUGACUCAACAGGUUACGCUGAACUCAUCAGUCAGAGCACCGCAACAGGCUUCUGAGUUCUGUCAGCACAGGCUCUCCAGUGCUAUCUCAGUGACUUGGGAUCAAGCCAAAUCUCAAAUAGUAUUCCAGUGGACAGAGACGGGGGACAAAGCAACCAAUUAAAGGCAUCUUUCCUUGGAUUUGACUAAAUAACAUCACUUCGAUAUUUGGCUUGGGAGUACAUUCAGAGAUCAAAGUGUACCGUUUUACUAGCAAAACUCCACCCAUGGUCCUAUCUGUGCAGUUGUGUGAGCACACUACUCACACCACUAUAUUCCUUCCUGUGGAGAGUGAGCAAGAUGGCUCUAUGCAUAAAGGAGCUUGCCGCCUAGCCCAAAGAUCUGAGUUUGAUCCCUGGGGCCCAGGAGGUAGAAGAAAUAACUCCCACAAUGACUUUACACACAGACUGUAUUAUAUGUGCCCAAGCACGUGCAUGCACACAAACUCACACAAAGAAAUCAAUGAAAGCAUAACAAAU
Mus caroli (Ryukyu mouse) is the source of this 1012-nucleotide long non-coding RNA. RefSeq lists it as uncharacterized. The record is from RefSeq and is a predicted model, not a curated record. NCBI's taxonomy places the organism in Eukaryota, Metazoa, Chordata, Mammalia, Rodentia, Muridae.